RNAcentral lists this ribosomal RNA (440 nucleotides) under uncultured bacterium. RNAcentral's name for it is "partial 16S ribosomal RNA". It matches the Rfam family "Bacterial small subunit ribosomal RNA", at positions 338 to 795 of the family's 1533-position model. The record is from RNAcentral.
CCUACGGGUGGCUGCAGUGGGGAAUAUUGCACAAUGGGGGAAACCCUGAUGCAGCGACGCCGCGUGAGUGAGGAAGUAUUUCGGUAUGUAAAGCUCUAUCAGCAGGGAAGAAAAUGACGGUACCUGACUAAGAAGCCCCGGCUAACUACGUGCCAGCAGCCGCGGUAAUACGUCGGGCGCACGCGUUAUCCGGAUUGACUGGGGGUAACGGGAGCGGAGACGGUUUAUCAAGUCAGAAGUGAAAGCCCAGGGUUUAACCUUGGGACUGCUUUUGAAACUGAGUAGCUAGAGUGCAGGAGAGGUAAGCGGAAUUCCUGGUGUAGCGGUGAAAUGCGUAGAUAUUAGGAGGAACACCAGUGGCGAAGGCGGCUUACUGGACUGUAACUGACGUUGAGGCUCGAAAGCGUGGGGAGCAAACAGGAUUAGAUACCCCUGUAGUC